RNAcentral lists this unclassified non-coding RNA (2301 nucleotides) under Hevea brasiliensis (rubber tree). The record is from RNAcentral. Lineage: Eukaryota; Viridiplantae; Streptophyta; Magnoliopsida; Malpighiales; Euphorbiaceae.
GUCGCUUGCAGCCGAGAGAGUUUCCUCCUGUGAAGUGCUGCAUUCCGACGGCUCUGUAAGGUUUCUAUCGCUUUCUUUUUCUCUUCUGAGUUUCAAUCACUUUCAUUGGCUUUCGCUUUGUUUGUUUACUGAGAAAAUGGCCUUAUGAAAGGAAACCGAAAAGAAAUGAUAUCAGAAGUUGCUUGGAAUCUGGUAUUGGCAGCUAUGGAGUCGAUGAAUUUAAUUAAAUUUGAUUAGGUGUGAGAUAUGUAGUUUAAUGGUUUUGCAGUGGAUUAUCAUGAUUGAUGCUAAUGGAUCAUUUGUUGCUUAAUACUGAAAAAAUAAAAAAUAGGUUUUUUCAAUUUUAAUAUUUUCUUAGUUAUUCAAUUGCUUACUGGAUACAACCAACAAGAAGAUGGUUACAUGAAAAUGUGCCUGUGGAUUCAAAUGACCUUGUGAUGCAAUUUUAAUGUGUGCAGGGCAUGACGGCCAAUAUUUCUGCCCAUUUCUAUUCUAUGCACUUAAUUCUAUUAUCUGUUAUGGUCUAUGACAUUCCUUGGCAUUUUUUGGAGUGAGAUUUGUGUUUACUCAUUUAAUGUUUUUUUAGGUAAGUCAUGGUGAAGCAUAAUAAUGUUGUGCCUAAUGGGCACUUUAAAAAACACUGGCAAAACUAUGUGAAGACAUGGUUUAACCAACCUGCUCGAAAAACAAGGAGACGUAUAGGUAAGGGGCUUUUUUUAUAGGGUUAGCUGAAUCAUCGUUAAUAUCUUACAUGUUCAUUGCAAAAAAAUGUCAGUUGUAGACUAUAUUCAAACUUGGCGCCAUUUACUUACUCAUGUUAUGCAUGUAAUGUGUAACUGUUAUCAGCUCGCCAAAAGAAGGCUGUGAAGAUCUUUCCUAGGCCUACAGCUGGACCUCUUCGUCCCAUUGUUCAUGGACAGACUUUGAAGUAUAAUAUGAAAUUGAGGGCUGGAAGAGGGUUUUCUCUUGAAGAACUCAAGGUCUGCUGGUUGUCUUUAUCAACAUAUGUUAAUCAUUUAGAUUUACCUCAUGUUUUAAUCAUCUGCUUUUAUCUCUAACAUGCCUUGUGUGUUUGUAUGAUGCCAUUUCAUAAUUGUUCUUAUUUUAUGAUAUGUGCUUUUGAAGGCACUUGUUGUGACCUAUUUUUCUGCUUCUUGUCCACCACAUCUGAGCUAUGCAUUUUCAUGUUUCUCACUUUUCAUUCUUUUUAACAUUGCAAGGUCUUUACAGUUUAGCUGGCAUUCAUGAUAUAAUGAAUAUAAACAUUUGUUUCCACUAGGCAGAACCAUAUAAAUGGCUAUCAGUAAUCUCUUAUUAUUAAGGGCACUUCUGAAGUGGACAUGUAAAUGCGGAUUCUUUUUGGAAUUUUACUUAUUAAUUUUAUUAUGUAAAAGUGGAUAUAAAUUUAAAUGCUAUUUUCUUUACCUUGUAAAUUGUUAUAUCUAGCUCUACUACAUCUUUUCAUAUUAUAUACUUUUUACUUACUAGGAUUUAACAUCCUUUGAAUCUUUCCAUACCAGGCUGCAGGUAUUCCCAAGAAACUUGCUCCUACAAUUGGAAUAGCUGUUGAUCAUCGCAGAAAGAACCGUUCUUUGGAGGCCCUACAGGCCAAUGUUCAGAGGCUGAAGACCUACAAGGCCAAAUUGGUUGUCUUCCCAAGACGUGCCUGCAAAUUCAAGGCUGGUGAUUCUGCUCCUGAGGAGCUGGCAACAGCAACCCAAGUACAAGGGCAGUUAAUGCCAAUCGUCCGUGAAAAGCCAUCUGUGGAGCUUGUUAAGGUCACUGAAGAGAUGAAGACAUUCAAGGCAUAUGACAAGCUGCGUGUGGAACGAAUGAACAAGCGUCAUGCUGGAGCCAGAUUGAAGAAGGCUGCAGAGGCUGAGAAAGAAGAAAAGAAGUAGGAACAAUAACAAUACCUUGUCAGCUAGCAUACGAUGUUGUUGGUCUCUACUUUUUUUUCAAUAUCUGCAUGAUUCUGUUUAAUGGAAUUUUCUCAAAUACAUUAGUCUUCUUUAGCCUUCGGAAUUUUGGUUUAAGUUUCUAUGAUAUGCAGUAUGGUUGGACUCUAUUCAUUUUAGUUUUUGGAUCCUGUGUCGAGUUGAGUAGAAUUUGACAUAGUUUAAUCUCUAUGAUAAGCAUUGGUAAACAGAAUCUGUGUUCUAGUACACCAAGCCUAUAACGAAGGCAUGAGGGAUUCAAUCAAUGAUAAAUUACAAUGCUUCGUUGCAGUUUAAUUAAUUCACUUCGGUUAUUGUAUUAAAUAAGCUGUAGUUUGUAUUUGUGGGUUAUAUAUGCAUAAUG